GAUUGAACGCUGGCGGCAGGCCUAACACAUGCAAGUCGAGCGGAAACGAGUUAUCUGAACCUUCGGGGGACGAUAACGGCGUCGAGCGGCGGACGGGUGAGUAAUGCCUAGGAAAUUGCCCUGAUGUGGGGGAUAACCAUUGGAAACGAUGGCUAAUACCGCAUAAUAGCCUACGGGCCUAAAGAGGGGGACCUUCGGGCCUCUCGCGUCAGGAUAUGCCUAGGUGGGAUUAGCUAGUUGGUGAGGUAAGGGCUCACCAAGGCGACGAUCCCUAGCUGGUCUGAGAGGAUGAUCAGCCACACUGGAACUGAGACACGGUCCAGGACUCCUACGGGAGGCAGCAGUGGGGGAAUAUUGCACAAUGGGCGCAAGCCUGAUGCAGCCAUGCCGCGUGUGUGAAGAAGGGCCUUUCGGGUUGUAAAAGCGACUUUCAGUCGUGAGGAAGGAGUGUAGUAAUAGCUGCAUUACUUGACGUUAGCGACAGAAGAAG
RNAcentral lists this ribosomal RNA (490 nucleotides) under uncultured bacterium. RNAcentral's name for it is "bacterial SSU rRNA". It matches the Rfam family "Bacterial small subunit ribosomal RNA", at positions 27 to 490 of the family's 1533-position model. The record is from RNAcentral.